CCUACGGGCGGCAGCAGUGAGGAAUAUUGGUCAAUGGACGCAAGUCUGAACCAGCCAUGCCGCGUGCAGGAAGACGGCUCUAUGAGUUGUAAACUGCUUUUGUACGAGGGUAAACGCAGAUACGUGUAUUUGUCUGAAAGCAUCGUACGAAUAAGGAUCGGCAAACUCCGUGCCAGAAGCCGCGGUAAUACGGGGAUUCAAGCGUUAUCCGGAUUUAUUGGGUGUAAAGGGUGCGUAGGUGGUCGGAUAAGUUAGAGGUGAAAUCCCGAGGCUCAACAUCGGAAUUGCCUCUGAUACUGUUCGGCUAGAGAGUAGUUGCGGUAGGCGGAAUGUAUGGUGUAGCGGUGAAAUGCUUAGAGAUCAUACAGAACACCGAUUGCGAAGGCAGAUUACCAAGCUACUUCUGACGUUGAGGCACGAAAGCGUGGGGAGCAAACAGGAUUAGAUACCCCAGUAGUC
This 459-nucleotide ribosomal RNA is filed under the name uncultured bacterium. Its description in RNAcentral is "partial 16S ribosomal RNA". It matches the Rfam family "Bacterial small subunit ribosomal RNA", at positions 338 to 795 of the family's 1533-position model. The record is from RNAcentral.